This 373-nucleotide ribosomal RNA is filed under the name uncultured bacterium. RNAcentral describes it as "bacterial SSU rRNA". It matches the Rfam family "Bacterial small subunit ribosomal RNA", at positions 525 to 896 of the family's 1533-position model. The record is from RNAcentral.
ACGGAGGGUGCGAGCGUUGUCCGGAAUCACUGGGCGUAAAGGGCGCGUAGGUGGUUAGAUGCGCCGGUGGUGAAAGCGCAGGGCUCAACCCUGCGUCGGCCAUCGGGACGGUCUGACUGGAGCACUGUAGAGGCAGGUGGAAUUCCGGGUGUAGCGGUGGAAUGCGUAGAGAUCCGGAAGAACACCGGUGGCGAAGGCGGCCUGCUGGGCAGUUGCUGACACUGAGGCGCGACAGCGUGGGGAGCAAACAGGAUUAGAUACCCUGGUAGUCCACGCCGUAAACGAUGGGCACUAGGUGCUUGGGGGAGCGACCCCCUGAGUGCCGACGCUAACGCAUUAAGUGCCCCGCCUGGGGAGUACGACCGCAAGGUUG